RNAcentral lists this ribosomal RNA (801 nucleotides) under uncultured bacterium. RNAcentral's name for it is "bacterial SSU rRNA". It matches the Rfam family "Bacterial small subunit ribosomal RNA", at positions 8 to 807 of the family's 1533-position model. The record is from RNAcentral.
AGAGUUUGAUCCUGGCUCAGGAUGAACGCUGGCGGCGUGCCUAAUACAUGCAAGUCGAACGCUUCACUUCGGUGAAGAGUGGCGAACGGGUGAGUAAUACAUAAGUAACCUGGCAUCUACAGGGGGAUAACUGAUGGAAACGUCAGCUAAGACCGCAUAGGUGUAGAGAUCGCAUGAACUCUAUAUGAAAAGUGCUACGGGACUGGUAGAUGAUGGACUUAUGGCGCAUUAGCUGGUUGGUAGGGUAACGGCCUACCAAGGCGACGAUGCGUAGCCGACCUGAGAGGGUGACCGGCCACACUGGGACUGAGACACGGCCCAGACUCCUACGGGAGGCAGCAGUAGGGAAUUUUCGGCAAUGGGGGAAACCCUGACCGAGCAACGCCGCGUGAAGGAAGAAGUAAUUCGUUAUGUAAACUUCUGUCAUAGAGGAAGAACGGUGGAUAUAGGGAAUGAUAUCCAAGUGACGGUACUCUAUAAGAAAGCCACGGCUAACUACGUGCCAGCAGCCGCGGUAAUACGUAGGUGGCGAGCGUUAUCCGGAAUUAUUGGGCGUAAAGAGGGAGCAGGCGGCACUAAGGGUCUGUGGUGAAAGAUCGAAGCUUAACUUCGGUAAGCCAUGGAAACCGUAGAGCUAGAGUGUGUGAGAGGAUCGUGGAAUUCCAUGUGUAGCGGUGAAAUGCGUAGAUAUAUGGAGGAACACCAGUGGCGAAGGCGACGAUCUGGCGCAUAACUGACGCUCAGUCCCGAAAGCGUGGGGAGCAAAGAGGAUUAGAUACCCUAGUAGUCCACGCCGUAACC